UAUCUGUGGGAAUGGCGUUAAAGCUUGUUUCGUGUGUAGUGAGGAUGAGAAAUAUUUUGGUUGGGUUUUGAGGCUGCGAGGUUUUACAGAAAAUCUCUGUUUUGAGUUUGGAGGUUAUAUUGCUAAAAUGAGUAAGGAUUUGUUAGAUUUUUUGUGUUUUAAGCGAUCCUAAUUUUGGAUGGAAAAGUUUUAAUAGACGAGAAGUUAGGCUUAAUGCGUUUGAUUUGAUGAGAAUUGUUUACUAACACAAGUGGUCUUUUGGUUUUAAAAGUAAGAANNNNNNNNNNNNNNNNNNNNNNNNNNNNNNNCGCUCUUUGAAGAGGGUUAAGAGAAAAUAAUUCCUUUUGGAUAAAGGGUCCUGCCUGCCCGGUGACUUAGUUUAACGGCCGCGGUAUUUUGACCGUGCAAAGGUAGCAUAAUCAUUUGCCUUUUAAAUGGGGGCUGGUAUGAAUGGCAAGACGGAAAUUAGACUGUCUCUUUUUUAUUUUCUUGAAUUUGAUUUUCUUGUGAAGAAGCGGGAAUGAAGUCGCGGGACGAGAAGACCCUAUCGAGCUUUAGUGGUCCCGGAUAUGUGCUCUGGAAACUAUUUUGUAGCUAAUUGGUGAGUUUUUGUCUCGGGAGAGUUUUACUUAUGAGGUAGUUGUGUUUUAUGUGGGCUAUUUUGGUUGGGGCAACCGCGGAGGAAAGGUAUCCUCCGCUGAGGAGACUAGUAGAAUGUAUUUUUUUAUGGUGAGUUUUUUGAGUGACCCGCUGAGAAGCGAUUAGAAGAAUAAGUUACCGUAGGGAUAACAGCGUAAUUCUUUUAGAGAGUUCAUAUUGAGAAGAGAGUUUGCGACCUCGAUGUUGGAUCGAGAUUUCCUGGGGGUGCAGCAGCUCCUAAGGGUUGGUCUGUUCGACCAUUAAAAUCUU
Molecule: ribosomal RNA, 909 nt
Filed under: Monachaster sanderi
Lineage: Eukaryota; Metazoa; Echinodermata; Asteroidea; Valvatida; Oreasteridae
Description: partial 16S ribosomal RNA
Rfam family: Bacterial large subunit ribosomal RNA (bases 502-909)
Source: RNAcentral